Linepithema humile (Argentine ant) is the source of this 207-nucleotide non-coding RNA. The record is from RefSeq and is a predicted model, not a curated record. NCBI's taxonomy places the organism in Eukaryota, Metazoa, Arthropoda, Insecta, Hymenoptera, Formicidae.
UUACUUUGACAAUUGGUAACUUAUUCGAUGCGUCCUUGGAAGGUUUUACUACGCUCGGAAAUAUGGCAGUAUCCUAUUUUAUGUUGAUGUAUCAGACCCAAUAAUAACAAAUUGCAGAGUUUAUUAUCAAUCAGAUGAAUUUUUAUCAGGUUGACAGAGUUGUAGAAUAUGUAUUUUAGAUUUGUUGAAUAUAAUGUGUUAAACAAG